UUUAUACAAUGACUAUAAUUUCAAUAAUAAAUAUAAUUAAAGCACAUAAAUCAUUAUAUUCAUAAAAAAAUCAAAAAACUACAUAAUAUAAAGUUAAUUUAAAUACAUAACAACAUCUAAAAUCUCAUAGAGCAGCGAUCUCUCGUAGAUGCUGAAGUCAUCUUCGAAUGCAAGGGGCCCGACCCAAUUCUCUAUCCACAUAGUCCUCCAGUCCUGUAAGCUCGUCAGGACGUCAUAAUGUACGUAGCCUAGAUAGUUUCUGUACGUGCUGCGAGCGACUGUAUCACUCUAGGAGGAGUCAUCUACCCAAUACUACGACCAUAAAGCGAUCUAUUUGAAUAUGCUAGCAGCAAAUUCCGACCCGCANN
This 368-nucleotide long non-coding RNA is filed under the name Phoenix dactylifera (date palm). Its description in RNAcentral is "long non-coding RNA (PDAC_LNC006605)". The record is from RNAcentral. Lineage: Eukaryota; Viridiplantae; Streptophyta; Magnoliopsida; Arecales; Arecaceae.